CACAAUGGGCGCAAGCCUGAUGCAGCCAUGCCGCGUGUGUGAAGAAGGCCUUCGGGUUGUAAAGCACUUUCAGCGGGGAGGGAGGCGGUGAGGUUAAUAACCUCAUCGAUUGACGUUACCCGCAGAAGAAGCACCGGCUAACUCCGUGCCAGCAGCCGCGGGAAUACGGAGGGGGCAAGCGUUAAUCGGAAUUACUGGGCGUAAAGCGAACGCAGGCGGUCUGUCAAGUCGGAUGUGAAAUCCCCGGGCUCAACCUGGGAACUGCAUUCGUAACUGGCAGGCUAGAGUCUUGUAGAGGGGGGUAGAAUUCCAGGUGUAGCGGUGAAAUGCGUAGAGAUCUGGAGGAAUACCGGUGGCGAAGGCGGCCCCC
Molecule: ribosomal RNA, 370 nt
Filed under: Klebsiella pneumoniae
Lineage: Bacteria; Pseudomonadati; Pseudomonadota; Gammaproteobacteria; Enterobacterales; Enterobacteriaceae
Description: bacterial SSU rRNA
Rfam family: Bacterial small subunit ribosomal RNA
Source: RNAcentral